GACGAACGCUGGCGGCGUGCCUAAUACAUGCAAGUCGAACGCUGAAGAGAGGAGCUUGCUCUUCUUGGAUGAGUUGCGAACGGGUGAGUAACGCGUAGGUAACCUGCCUUGUAGCGGGGGAUAACUAUUGGAAACGAUAGCUAAUACCGCAUAACAAUGGAUGACACAUGUCAUUUAUUUGAAAGGGGCAAUUGCUCCACUACAAGAUGGACCUGCGUUGUAUUAGCUAGUAGGUGAGGUAACGGCUCACCUAGGCGACGAUACAUAGCCGACCUGAGAGGGUGAUCGGCCACACUGGGACUGAGACACGGCCCAGACGCCUACGGGAGGCAGCAGUAGGGAAUCUUCGGCAAUGGGGGCAACCCUGACCGAGCAACGCCGCGUGAGUGAAGAAGGUUGUCGGAUCGUAAAGCUCUGUUGCAAGUCAAGAACGAGUGUGAGAGUGGAAAGUUCACACUGUGACGGUAGCUUACCAGAAAGGGACGGCUAACUACGUG
Molecule: ribosomal RNA, 497 nt
Filed under: uncultured bacterium
Lineage: Bacteria
Description: partial 16S ribosomal RNA
Rfam family: Bacterial small subunit ribosomal RNA
Source: RNAcentral